RNAcentral lists this ribosomal RNA (247 nucleotides) under uncultured bacterium. Its description in RNAcentral is "partial 16S ribosomal RNA". It matches the Rfam family "Bacterial small subunit ribosomal RNA", at positions 15 to 254 of the family's 1533-position model. The record is from RNAcentral.
AANCCUGGCUCAGGAUGAACGCUAGCGGCAGGCCUAACACAUGCAAGUCGAGGGGCAUCGGGAUUGAAGCUUGCUUCAAUUGCCGGCGACCGGCGCACGGGUGCGUAACGCGUAUGUAACCUACCUAUAACAGGGGCAUAACACUGAGAAAUUGGUACUAAUUCCCCAUAAUAUUCGGAGAGGCAUCUCUCCGGGUUGAAAACUCCGGUGGUUAUAGAUGGACAUGCGUUGUAUUAGCUAGUUGGUG